Molecule: long non-coding RNA, 797 nt
Organism: Bombus pyrosoma
Lineage: Eukaryota; Metazoa; Arthropoda; Insecta; Hymenoptera; Apidae
Exons: 3
Source: RefSeq, a predicted model, not a curated record
UGUUAUAAAAUCAAGUUGUUUCGAGAUAUAAAGAGAAAAAUUGAAGAAAAGGUUGUGAAUUAAUUGGAAGACGAAUAAUUUAAUUGGACAGUUUAUUACGUGUGCGCCGGUAUAGAAAUAUUAUACAAAUUCGAAGACGAUUCGAAUAGAUUACGAAAAUGUUAGGUCUACGGUGUUCUCCCUUUCAAAACAUGUACAUUACGAGAGGAGCGGUGAUGGAACGAUUCUAUACAAACAUCUAAACGAAUCACCACUAAAACGAACCACUAAUUAGCGACAACGAGGUUAGGAUCAGGAGGAAGGGGAGGGUUAGAGACGAUAUUUACAAUACAAUUCAGUGCGUUUCCGUGUUCACAUGAAGUUUCGCACACUUUGGUAUUAAUCGAAUGUACAUAUGUACCUGCGUUUACAAUAUGACUUGUUACAACAUAAAUCAGGGAGUAAUGCGCUAUCGUCAAUGUUACUUGCAUUUUUUAUGUUUUUUUUUUUAAUCCUUUAUACAUAACUCGGCUAUUCGUGUAAUCAAUAUUAUGAAUUAGCUGCGCCUGGCGGUACAUCAUGAUUCAAAUUUAUAUGUAGUGGACACAACUAUAUUUACAGUGAGACAGUCGUUCACUUCUGUAUUCACAACAAUGCGGACGAAGGAACAGAGUUGGAAAUGUCAACGACAAGUUGUACGAGUUGGAAUAAAAAUGGUUGAUGAUCAGUAAAUCACGUAGCCAUCCGUAAUGGUACUAUUUGUUCUCGCAGACUACGAUUCUCUUCAAGCACUUAUUGAAAGAAGACCACGAAGAAAG